Molecule: ribosomal RNA, 322 nt
Filed under: uncultured eukaryote
Lineage: Eukaryota
Description: partial 18S ribosomal RNA
Rfam family: Eukaryotic small subunit ribosomal RNA
Source: RNAcentral
CCCUUAGAUGUUCUGGGCCGCACGCGUGCUACACUGAGUGGAUCAGCGGGUCAGGUUGCGCGAAAGCGUUUCCUAAUCUUUAAAUCCGCUCGUGAUGGGGAUUGACGGUUGCAAUUUUCUGUCAUGAACGAGGAAUACCUUGUAAGCGCGGGUCAUCAUCCCGCGCUGAAUACGUCCCUGCCCUUUGUACACACCGCCCGUCGCUCCUACCGAUUGGGUGGUCCGGUGAGGCUUUGGGAUCUGAGCGGAAAGAGCGUUUCGCCGUUUCUGCUCGGAAAACUCAGUCGAACCUUAUCAUUUAGAGGAAGGAGAAGUCGUAACA